Molecule: ribosomal RNA, 1340 nt
Filed under: Pseudarthrobacter phenanthrenivorans
Lineage: Bacteria; Bacillati; Actinomycetota; Actinomycetes; Micrococcales; Micrococcaceae
Description: bacterial SSU rRNA
Rfam family: Bacterial small subunit ribosomal RNA
Source: RNAcentral
GCUUGCACUGGGGAUUAGUGGCGAACGGGUGAGUAACACGUGAGUAACCUGCCCUUGACUCUGGGAUAAGCCUGGGAAACUGGGUCUAAUACCGGAUAUGACCUUCCAUCGCAUGGUGGUUGGUGGAAAGCUUUUGUGGUUUUGGAUGGACUCGCGGCCUAUCAGCUUGUUGGUGGGGUAAUGGCCUACCAAGGCGACGACGGGUAGCCGGCCUGAGAGGGUGACCGGCCACACUGGGACUGAGACACGGCCCAGACUCCUACGGGAGGCAGCAGUGGGGAAUAUUGCACAAUGGGCGCAAGCCUGAUGCAGCGACGCCGCGUGAGGGAUGACGGCCUUCGGGUUGUAAACCUCUUUCAGUAGGGAAGAAGCGAAAGUGACGGUACCUGCAGAAGAAGCGCCGGCUAACUACGUGCCAGCAGCCGCGGUAAUACGUAGGGCGCAAGCGUUAUCCGGAAUUAUUGGGCGUAAAGAGCUCGUAGGCGGUUUGUCGCGUCUGCCGUGAAAGUCCGGGGCUCAACUCCGGAUCUGCGGUGGGUACGGGCAGACUAGAGUGAUGUAGGGGAGACUGGAAUUCCUGGUGUAGCGGUGAAAUGCGCAGAUAUCAGGAGGAACACCGAUGGCGAAGGCAGGUCUCUGGGCAUUAACUGACGCUGAGGAGCGAAAGCAUGGGGAGCGAACAGGAUUAGAUACCCUGGUAGUCCAUGCCGUAAACGUUGGGCACUAGGUGUGGGGGACAUUCCACGUUUUCCGCGCCGUAGCUAACGCAUUAAGUGCCCCGCCUGGGGAGUACGGCCGCAAGGCUAAAACUCAAAGGAAUUGACGGGGGCCCGCACAAGCGGCGGAGCAUGCGGAUUAAUUCGAUGCAACGCGAAGAACCUUACCAAGGCUUGACAUGAACCGGUAAUACCUGGAAACAGGUGCCCCGCUUGCGGUCGGUUUACAGGUGGUGCAUGGUUGUCGUCAGCUCGUGUCGUGAGAUGUUGGGUUAAGUCCCGCAACGAGCGCAACCCUCGUUCUAUGUUGCCAGCACGUGAUGGUGGGGACUCAUAGGAGACUGCCGGGGUCAACUCGGAGGAAGGUGGGGACGACGUCAAAUCAUCAUGCCCCUUAUGUCUUGGGCUUCACGCAUGCUACAAUGGCCGGUACAAAGGGUUGCGAUACUGUGAGGUGGAGCUAAUCCCAAAAAGCCGGUCUCAGUUCGGAUUGGGGUCUGCAACUCGACCCCAUGAAGUCGGAGUCGCUAGUAAUCGCAGAUCAGCAACGCUGCGGUGAAUACGUUCCCGGGCCUUGUACACACCGCCCGUCAAGUCACGAAAGUUGGUAACACCCGAAGCCGG